Dama dama (fallow deer) is the source of this 643-nucleotide long non-coding RNA. RefSeq lists it as uncharacterized. The transcript has 3 exons. NCBI's taxonomy places the organism in Eukaryota, Metazoa, Chordata, Mammalia, Artiodactyla, Cervidae. The record is from RefSeq and is a predicted model, not a curated record.
GGCUCUGCUUCCAAAGGCAUAGGAGGAACGAUUCCUUGCCUGGUAGAGUGGCUUGUGCCCUGGCUGGGAUGUUGGAAACUGUUCUAGAAUCAGCCACCUCUGUUCAUUAACAGCUGUGUGCUUUGGCUCCUUCUCCUAACCCUUUGGAGUUGCCAUUUCUUAUCUCUAAAAUAACAGCAACAACUCAACAACCUUUGACUGAGGACAGACUGUUACAUUGGGCUGGACAAUGUGUGUUGAGAUAUAGCUACCACUUCCAGGAGAGUGAAGCAGUGGACACAAAGCAUUGGGUCACGUGGGCUAAGAGAGGAUAAUUUUAGAGAUUCUGGGAACUUCCUGGUCACCUGACUAGGUCAGCUAGUCAUGGAUCUAGCUGUCUGCUGAAGUAAAACUAUCUUCCAUUGCCUUCACACACUAUGAUUCCAGGGUCUACAGAUCCAACUCUGGCUUCGGUGGUUUCCUGGUGUCAAGGACACAAUCCUCCUUGCAUUAUCCAGUUUCACUGCCAGUGGGAAGAAAAACAUUGUCUUGUUCUUCUUUUCUCCAAUCACACCUAAACCAAUAUCACAUGGGACCUGUAGAAGCUGUGUCUCAGCUCAAAGAAAAGUACAUUGAUGUCCCUCACAUGCCUGCUGAAAACCUA